RNAcentral lists this small nuclear RNA (155 nucleotides) under Tauraco erythrolophus (red-crested turaco). RNAcentral describes it as "U2 spliceosomal RNA". It matches the Rfam family "U2 spliceosomal RNA", at positions 37 to 192 of the family's 192-position model. From Rfam's summary of the family: U2 is a small nuclear RNA (snRNA) component of the spliceosome (involved in pre-mRNA splicing). Complementary binding between U2 snRNA (in an area lying towards the 5' end but 3' to hairpin I) and the branchpoint sequence (BPS) of the intron results the bulging out of an unpaired adenosine, on the BPS, which initiates a nucleophilic attack at the intronic 5' splice site, thus starting the first of two transesterification reactions that mediate splicing. The record is from Rfam by way of RNAcentral. Lineage: Eukaryota; Metazoa; Chordata; Aves; Musophagiformes; Musophagidae.
UAUCUGUUCUUAUCAGUUUAAUAUCUGAUACGUCCGCGAUGAGCGGACUUUAUAUUAAACGGAUUUUUGGGCGCGGGAGUUGGAUCCGGAACUUGUUCCCUCCGCUCCGCGCAUCGUCCCGGUAUUGCAGCGCCUCCGGGAACGGUGCACCCCCC